Peptostreptococcaceae bacterium is the source of this 73-nucleotide non-coding RNA. NCBI's taxonomy places the organism in Bacteria, Bacillati, Bacillota, Clostridia, Peptostreptococcales, Peptostreptococcaceae. The record is from Rfam.
UCUUAUAUAACUCAGUAGGUAGAGCACUGCCUUGGUAAGGCGGAUGUCGCUUGUUUAAAUCUGCUUGUAAAAU